GGGAGACACACGGCGGGUGCUAACGUCCGUCGUGAAGAGGGAAACAACCCAGACCGCCAGCUAAGGUCCCAAAGUCACAGUUAAGUGGGAAACGAUGUGGGAAGGCACAGACAGCUAGGAUGUUGGCUUAGAAGCAGCCAUCAUUUAAAGAAAGCGUAAUAGCUCACUAGUCGAGUCGGCCUGCGCGGAAGAUGUAACGGGGCUCAAAUAUAGCACCGAAGCUGCGGCAUCAGUAGCAAUACUGUUGGGUAGGGGAGCGUUCUGUAAGCGGAUGAAGGUGAAUCGAGAGGUUUGCUGGACGUAUCAGAAGUGCGAAUGCUGACAUAAGUAACGAUAAAACGGGUGAAAAACCCGUUCGCCGGAAGACCAAGGGUUCCUGUCCAACGUUAAUCGGGGCAGGGUGAGUCGGCCCCUAAGGCGAGGCUGAAAAGCGUAGUCGAUGGGAAACGGGUUAAUAUUCCCGUACUUGGAUAAACUGCGAUGUGGGGACGGAGCAGGUUAGGUUAUCGCACUGUUGGAUAUGUGCGUUUAAGUUGGUAGGUGAGAAGUUUAGGCAAAUCCGGACUUCUAUCACACCGAGAGAUGAUGACGAGGCUCUACGGAGCUGAAGUAACCGAUACCACACUUCCAGGAAAAGCCACUAAGCUUCAGGUUUAUCUAAACCGUACUGAAAACCGACACAGGUGGUCAGGUAGAGAAUACUCAGGCGCUUGAGAGAACUCGGGUGAAGGAACUAGGCAAAAUAGCACCGUAACUUCGGGAGAAGGUGCGCCGGCGUAGAUUGUAGUCCCUUGCGGGCGAAGGUUGAACCGGUCGAAGAUACCAGCUGGCUGCAACUGUUUAUUAAAAACACAGCACUCUGCAAACACGAAAGUGGACGUAUACGGUGUGACGCCUGCCCGGUGCCGGAAGGUUAAUUGAUGGGGUUAUCCGUAAGGAGAAGCUCUUGAUCGAAGCCCCAGUAAACGGCGGCCGUAACUAUAACGGUCCUAAGGUAGCGAAAUUCCUUGUCGGGUAAGUUCCGACCUGCACGAAUGGCAUAAUGAUGGCCAGGCUGUCUCCACCCGAGACUCAGUGAAAUUGAAAUCGCCGUGAAGAUGCGGUGUACCCGCGGCUAGACGGAAAGACCCCGUGAACCUUUACUAUAGCUUGACACUGAACAUUGAAUUUUGAUGUGUAGGAUAGGUGGGAGACUUUGAAGUAGUCACGCCAGUGAUUAUGGAGUCGUCCUUGAAAUACCACCCUUUAACGUUUGAUGUUCUAACGAAGAUUACGAAACGUGGUCUCGGACAGUGUCUGGUGGGUAGUUUGACUGGGGCGGUCUCCUCCCAAAGAGUAACGGAGGAGCACGAAGGUUUGCUAAUCCUGGUCGGACAUCAGGAGGUUAGUGCAAUGGCAUAAGCUAGCUUGACUGCGAGCGUGACGGCGCGAGCAGGUGCGAAAGCAGGUCAUAGUGAUCCGGUGGUUCUGAAUGGAAGGGCCAUCGCUCAACGGAUAAAAGGUACUCCGGGGAUAACAGGCUGAUACCGCCCAAGAGUUCAUAUCGACGGCGGUGUUUGGCACCUCGAUGUCGGCUCAUCACAUCCUGGGGCUGAAGUAGGUCCCAAGGGUAUGGCUGUUCGCCAUUUAAAGUGGUACGCGAGCUGGGUUUAGAACGUCGUGAGACAGUUCGGUCCCUAUCUGCCGUGGGCGUUGGAGAAUUGAUUGGGGCUGCUCCUAGUACGAGAGGACCGGAGUGGACGCACCACUGGUGUUCCGGUUGUGUCGCCAGACGCAUUGCCGGGUAGCUAAGUGCGGAAGAGAUAAGUGCUGAAAGCAUCUAAGCACGAAACUUGCCAAGAGAUGAGUUCUCCCAGAUUUAAAAUCUGUAAGGGUUGU
RNAcentral lists this ribosomal RNA (1878 nucleotides) under human gut metagenome. RNAcentral describes it as "bacterial LSU rRNA". It matches the Rfam family "Bacterial large subunit ribosomal RNA", at positions 979 to 2838 of the family's 2925-position model. The record is from RNAcentral.